GGCUUGAUGGCUUGAUUAUUUGGAUGAGAAACGCCUUUAUAAGGUUAGCUUUUGAGGGCAUCAUUACUAUUUUCUUUGAUUUUGACGAUUCUCCGGUUGCUGUUCUUGAUGAUGAUGAUGACAACUCCAUCCGGUUCAUAUGAGCCGUUGAUUUUGCAUAAAUUCCUCUUGGAUUCCUGUGCAGGCUGCACUUGAAUGAGCCUGGAUGGGUGGUGGGUGAGCAGAGGCACGCACGUCUUGUUGAAGAAGAUGAGUUAUUCUUGGUGGCCAUUGAAAUGAGCUAAUGUGUCUGUCUCUGUUUCUUUAUCUUUUAUAUUCAUGGAAUUUUUUUUAA
This 334-nucleotide unclassified non-coding RNA is filed under the name Hevea brasiliensis (rubber tree). Lineage: Eukaryota; Viridiplantae; Streptophyta; Magnoliopsida; Malpighiales; Euphorbiaceae. The record is from RNAcentral.